AGAGUUUGAUCCUGGCUCAGGAUGAACGCUAGCGGCAGGCUUAACACAUGCAAGUCGAGGGGCAGCGGGGAGGAAGCUUGCUUUCUCCGCCGGCGACCGGCGCACGGGUGAGUAACACGUAUGCAACCUGCCCCUGUCAGGGGGACAACCCGCCGAAAGGCGGGCUAAACCCGCGUACAUGCCACCGGGGCAUCCCGGAGGCAGGAAAGGCUUCGGCCGGACAGGGAUGGGCAUGCGGCGCAUUAGGCAGUAGGCGGGGUAACGGCCCACCUAACCGACGAUGCGUAGGGGUUCUGAGAGGAAGGUCCCCCACACUGGUACUGAGACACGGACCAGACUCCUACGGGAGGCAGCAGUGAGGAAUAUUGGUCAAUGGUCGGGAGACUGAACCAGCCAAGCCGCGUGAGGGAGGAAGGUACAGAGUAUCGUAAACCUCUUUUGUCAGGGAACAAAGGCGGGGACGUGUCCCCGGAUGAGUGUACCUGAAGAAAAAGCAUCGGCUAACUCCGUGCCAGCAGCCGCGGUAAUACGGAGGAUGCGAGCGUUAUCCGGAUUUAUUGGGUUUAAAGGGUGCGCAGGCGGUCUGUUAAGUCAGCGGUCAAAGCCCGGGGCUCAACCCCGGCCCGCCGUUGAAACUGGCAGUCUCGAGUUGGAGAGAAGUAUGCGGAAUGCGCGGUGUAGCGGUGAAAUGCAUAGAUAUCGCGCAGAACUCCGAUUGCGAAGGCAGCAUGCCGGCUCCACACUGACGCUGAGGCACGAAAGCGUGGGUAUCGAACAGGAUUAGAUACCCUGGUAGUCCACGCAGUAAACGAUGAAUGCUGGCUGUCCGGGGGGAUUGACCCCUGGGUGGCGAAGCGAAAGCGAUAAGCAUUCCACCUGGGGAGUACGCCGGCAACGGUGAAACUCAAAGGAAUUGACGGGGGCCCGCACAAGCGGAGGAACAUGUGGUUUAAUUCGAUGAUACGCGAGGAACCUUACCCGGGCUCAAACGGGGAGUGACUCAGGCAGAGACGCCUGUUUCCCACGGGACACUCCCCGAGGUGCUGCAUGGUUGUCGUCAGCUCGUGCCGUGAGGUGUCGGCUUAAGUGCCAUAACGAGCGCAACCCCCGCGUGCAGUUGCUAACAGAUAACGCUGAGGACUCUGCACGGACUGCCGGCGCAAGCCGCGAGGAAGGCGGGGAUGACGUCAAAUCAGCACGGCCCUUACGUCCGGGGCGACACACGUGUUACAAUGGGUGGUACAGCGGGAAGCCAGGCGGCGACGCCGAGCGGAACCCGAAAUCCACUCUCAGUUCGGAUCGGAGUCUGCAACCCGACUCCGUGAAGCUGGAUUCGCUAGUAAUCGCGCAUCAGCCAUGGCGCGGUGAAUACGUUCCCGGGCCUUGCACACACCGCCCGUCAAG
RNAcentral lists this ribosomal RNA (1404 nucleotides) under uncultured bacterium. RNAcentral's name for it is "partial 16S ribosomal RNA". It matches the Rfam family "Bacterial small subunit ribosomal RNA". The record is from RNAcentral.